This 335-nucleotide ribosomal RNA is filed under the name Pallenopsis macronyx. RNAcentral's name for it is "partial 12S ribosomal RNA". Lineage: Eukaryota; Metazoa; Arthropoda; Pycnogonida; Pantopoda; Pallenopsidae. The record is from RNAcentral.
UAAGAGAUAUAAUCUUUAAAUUUAAAGAAUUUGGCGGUGAAUUAAUUUGUUUAGAGGAAUUUGUUUAAUAAUUGAUAAUCCCCAAUUUAUCUUACCUUAAUUUAUUUAUUAGUAUGUAUAUCGCCGUUUAAAGGAGUAUGAAUAUCUUUAUAGAGAUAAUUUUCUUUAUAAUGUUAUUAUUUAAAUCAGGUCAAGAUGCAGUUUAUAUUAAGGGUAUAAAUGAAUUACAUUUAUGAUUAGUAAUUAUUAAUUAUUAUAUGAAAUUAUAGUAUGAAAGUGGAUUUACAGGUAAAUUAUUAGUAGAGUGGGUAUUUGAAUUUAAUUUUAAUUUAUGU